GAUGAACGCUGGCGGCGUGCCUAAUACAUGCAAGUCGAGCGAACGGACGAGAAGCUUGCUUCUCUGAUGUUAGCGGCGGACGGGUGAGUAACACGUGGAUAACCUACCUAUAAGACUGGGAUAACUUCGGGAAACCGGAGCUAAUACCGGAUAAUAUUUUGAACCGCAUGGUUCAAAAGUGAAAGACGGUCUUGCUGUCACUUAUAGAUGGAUCCGCGCUGCAUUAGCUAGUUGGUAAGGUAACGGCUUACCAAGGCAACGAUGCAUAGCCGACCUGAGAGGGUGAUCGGCCACACUGGAACUGAGACACGGUCCAGACUCCUACGGGAGGCAGCAGUAGGGAAUCUUCCGCAAUGGGCGAAAGCCUGACGGAGCAACGCCGCGUGAGUGAUGAAGGUCUUCGGAUCGUAAAACUCUGUUAUUAGGGAAGAACAUAUGUGUAAGUAACUGUGCACAUCUUGACGGUACCUAAUCAGAAAGCCACGGCUAACUACGUGCCAGCAGCCGCGGUAAUACGUAGGUGGCAAGCGUUAUCCGGAAUUAUUGGGCGUAAAGCGCGCGUAGGCGGUUUUUUAAGUCUGAUGUGAAAGCCCACGGCUCAACCGUGGAGGGUCAUUGGAAACUGGAAAACUUGAGUGCAGAAGAGGAAAGUGGAAUUCCAUGUGUAGCGGUGAAAUGCGCAGAGAUAUGGAGGAACACCAGUGGCGAAGGCGACUUUCUGGUCUGUAACUGACGCUGAUGUGCGAAAGCGUGGGGAUCAAACAGGAUUAGAUACCCUGGUAGUCCACGCCGUAAACGAUGAGUGCUAAGUGUUAGGGGGUUUCCGCCCCUUAGUGCUGCAGCUAACGCAUUAAGCACUCCGCCUGGGGAGUACGACCGCAAGGUUGAAACUCAAAGGAAUUGGCGGGGACCCGCACAAGCGGUGGAGCAUGUGGUUUAAUUCGAAGCAACGCGAAGAACCUUACCAAAUCUUGACAUCCUUUGACAACUCUAGAGAUAGAGCCUUCCCCUUCGGGGGACAAAGUGACAGGUGGUGCAUGGUUGUCGUCAGCUCGUGUCGUGAGAUGUUGGGUUAAGUCCCGCAACGAGCGCAACCCUUAAGCUUAGUUGCCAUCAUUAAGUUGGGCACUCUAAGUUGACUGCCGGUGACAAACCGGAGGAAGGUGGGGAUGACGUCAAAUCAUCAUGCCCCUUAUGAUUUGGGCUACACACGUGCUACAAUGGACAAUACAAAGGGCAGCGAAACCGCGAGGUCAAGCAAAUCCCAUAAAGUUGUUCUCAGUUCGGAUUGUAGUCUGCAACUCGACUACAUGAAGCUGGAAUCGCUAGUAAUCGUAGAACAGCAUGCUACGGUGAAUACGUUCCCGGGUCU
Molecule: ribosomal RNA, 1372 nt
Filed under: uncultured bacterium
Lineage: Bacteria
Description: bacterial SSU rRNA
Rfam family: Bacterial small subunit ribosomal RNA
Source: RNAcentral